This is a non-coding RNA of Pelobates cultripes (western spadefoot toad), 235 nucleotides long. NCBI's taxonomy places the organism in Eukaryota, Metazoa, Chordata, Amphibia, Anura, Pelobatidae. The record is from the annotation of a GenBank genome assembly.
GCGCUGCUCUCUGUAAUCUCCAGAUCAAGUGGUCAAAUGCCUUCUCCACAUCUAAUGCUAAAAGAAGACUGCCUUUGCCGGAGAUCCUUAGUAACCUCAUGACCACAGCUAGAUUCCUCGUAUCGUCCACUCCUUGCUGUCAACACACGAAUCCCGUUUGGUCGUUGUUUAUUAAUUGCGUUAGAAAUCAAUGUAAUCUAUUUGCUUAGAGUUUGGAAUAUAUUUUCUCGUCAAU